Molecule: long non-coding RNA, 644 nt
Organism: Pristis pectinata (smalltooth sawfish)
Lineage: Eukaryota; Metazoa; Chordata; Chondrichthyes; Rhinopristiformes; Pristidae
Exons: 2
Source: RefSeq, a predicted model, not a curated record
CUUCUCUUUUUUUAGGAUCCUCCUUAAAAGCCACAUAUUUGCCUAAGCUUUUAGUUACACUUGCUAAUAUUGCCUUUGACUUAGGAUCCACUUCUGUCCGAUCAAGCCUCUAUAAGCAUCUUGUACUUGGAAUUCAGCCAGAUCCAGUCUACCAACCUUCAGAGCAACAUGGCUAGCUGCGGGGAUCUUUUGUGGUCUCUUUUCUGGCUUAUUGUGCUGUUCUUUUUCGGCUGGCCACUCAGCAUAUUCUUUGGGGGCAUCUAUGGGUUUUUGUCACCACUGACUACGUGUGUUGGACUGGACCAGGUCACGGAUAUACUUCUACAAGGUGCAAACCUGGGCAGAAGCUGUGCUGAGAACAUGAGAUCAAGCAAGGCUCUCUGCUAAAAAAAUUACAUCUUCUGCUGUUUCAGCGAAAAAGGAAUUUCGCCUCAACUGUGAGCCAUCCACAUCAGCACCCAGGUUACUGCGGAUCAGCCAAUUUAAAAUGCAGUCACAGAACUCUUCUUUAUGCUUCUGACCUCAACACGGUGUUGCAAAUGUAUCUUUUUUUUCUUUUAUGGCUUCUUUUAAGCAGAAUAAUACAUUUUAAAUUAUUUGUAAUUGAUAUUGCAAUAAAUGGCCAUCCUCUCAAAUGUACCAAA